Molecule: long non-coding RNA, 923 nt
Organism: Lepidothrix coronata (blue-crowned manakin)
Lineage: Eukaryota; Metazoa; Chordata; Aves; Passeriformes; Pipridae
Exons: 7
Source: RefSeq, a predicted model, not a curated record
GUCUUCCAGAAGUAGCUGCAAUUUCUCAAAUGAUCAAGCAGCUUAGGAGCUUGGAUCCCACUUUCAGAGGCAACAAACACAUCGGAGCCUUAGUUCCUUGAUUUACAAUGCUUUGUUGGGAGUCCUGGUAGAAGUUUGGUAGCCUGUCAGAGACACCUGCACCCACGUGGAAGAAUGGGUACAUUCAACAGAACCGCCAAGAAUCAUGAAAAUUAGAAGUAAUCAAAUGCCCCUCAAGAUUUUUUCCCCUGCAGGAACAGAGGAAACAACUGCAGAAGUGGCAGCUCUGUAGGCAAAUAAACACUCCAGAGAGUUGCUCACGGUGGAAGUCGGACUUCAAAUAUACAAAUUGAAGCCUUCAGAGCCAGUUUAAUAUGCAUAAUGUGGUCUGAUGAAAAAUAGUAUAGCUAUGCUGUGGUGACCAGCACUGCUUAGCAUUCGUUUGGAUUUCAAGCUGCAAUGGAAGAAUGGUGCAAAAUUUGGAUACACAACAUUCAUCAACACAAUGAAUAAAAUAAUGAACACAUCUGUCAAGGCACCAUGAAGGAAGAGACACGCUUUUCUGGGCUGGAUGAUCAUCAAUAUCUCCAGCUUUCUGGAUAUCAACAGGAACCCAGGCAUUUUGGUUAUUAUGAAAAGUGUGAGGGUAUUUGUCUCAGGACUGUAGUGCCAACACUCAUCAGACAAUUACUUGAUUUUCAGGUGGAACUUUUUAGAGCUCUUCAUCAAGAAUAUGAUGUGGGGUGUGGAUGCCCACCAAGACUUCCUUAUCCCUGACAAUACUUAAAACAUCUGUGCAGGUCUGUUUGUUGGAUAAAAAAAAUUUCAUCCUUGGACCUGUCCUUUGUGGAACUGUUCUUCCAGCAUUUGUCAGAAUAAGAGGGAUUGCAGAAAAACCCUGCAGAAAUUGUUUAGCCUCAGAC